RNAcentral lists this ribosomal RNA (1058 nucleotides) under uncultured soil bacterium. RNAcentral's name for it is "bacterial SSU rRNA". It matches the Rfam family "Bacterial small subunit ribosomal RNA", at positions 8 to 1047 of the family's 1533-position model. The record is from RNAcentral.
AGAGUUUGAUCCUGGCUCAGGAUGAACGCUGGCGGCGUGCCUAAUACAUGCAAGUCGAGCGAACUGAUUAGAAGCUUGCUUCUAUGACGUUAGCGGCGGACGGGUGAGUAACACGUGGGCAACCUGCCUGUAAGACUGGGAUAACUUCGGGAAACCGAAGCUAAUACCGGAUAGGAUCUUCUCCUUCAUGGGAGAUGAUUGAAAGAUGGUUUCGGCUAUCACUUACAGAUGGGCCCGCGGUGCAUUAGCUAGUUGGUGGGGUAACGGCUCACCAAGGCAACGAUGCAUAGCCGACCUGAGAGGGUGAUCGGCCACACUGGAACUGAGACACGGCCCAGACUCCUACGGGAGGCAGCAGUAGGGAAUCUUCCGCAAUGGACGAAAGUCUGACGGAGCAACGCCGCGUGAGUGAUGAAGGCUUUCGGGUCGUAAAACUCUGUUGUUAGGGAAGAACAAGUACAAGAGUAACUGCUUGUACCUUGACGGUACCUAACCAGAAAGCCACGGCUAACUACGUGCCAGCAGCCGCGGUAAUACGUAGGUGGCAAGCGUUAUCCGGAAUUAUUGGGCGUAAAGCGCGCGCAGGCGGUUUCUUAAGUCUGAUGUGAAAGCCCACGGCUCAACCGUGGAGGGUCAUUGGAAACUGGGGAACUUGAGUGCAGAAGAGAAAAGCGGAAUUCCACGUGUAGCGGUGAAAUGCGUAGAGAUGUGGAGGAACACCAGUGGCGAAGGCGGCUUUUUGGUCUGUAACUGACGCUGAGGCGCGAAAGCGUGGGGAGCAAACAGGAUUAGAUACCCUGGUAGUCCACGCCGUAAACGAUGAGUGCUAAGUGUUAGAGGGUUUCCGCCCUUUAGUGCUGCAGCUAACGCAUUAAGCACUCCGCCUGGGGAGUACGGUCGCAAGACUGAAACUCAAAGGAAUUGACGGGGGCCCGCACAAGCGGUGGAGCAUGGUGGUUUAAUUCGAGCAACGCGAGACCUUACCAGGUCUUGACAUCCUCUGACAACUCUAGAGAUAGAGCGUUCCCUUCAGGGGACAGAGUGACAGGUGGUGCAUG